AGCUAACAAGGAAAACGAGGCAUCGGCAUCCAAAGGAAAAGAAAAGAUCGUUGAGGAGUAAACGCGUAUUCCGGGUUUGUAUUACUAUAACUUAAUCUAUUUAAUAAAUGCUAGAUUGAAAUUGUAUUCAUGGGACAUUUAAAGUAAGGUAAGUAAUAACAUUUGAAAUUAAGUAAGAAUAUGUGUGAAUAUUUAAUUAUAUGUGAAUUGAAAUAAUAGAUGUUUUGAAUUGUUUGAGUAUUUGAAAUUGUUGUGGAAAUGAACUCGAAAUUGGAAAUGUAAAUUAAUACCCUAUUAACUUAUCGGACUAGAUUGGAUACAAAUGGCAUGCCAUUGGAUUUGUGAUGUGAUGAUGAGAUUUGUAGUUCGGCCGAGAAGAUGAUUAUAUUAUUAUAUGCUUCGGUUUAUCCGAAGAGGCAUUUAAUGCCUUAUUGGUGUGUUAUGGAGGAUUUAAAUAAUUUCGGGUGUGUUUAGGUUGAAUAUUCUGGUGUGUUUGGGUGGAAUCCUCGUAUCUGUCAGAGUCCGAGCCUUGUUAAUAGAGUAAAUAAUUGAAAUGAAAAUUUGAAAAUGAAAUUGGUUGAUUUGACACUAUAGAAAAAUGCGAGAAAGAAUGUAUGAGUUAAAUUAUAAAUUGAAUUAGUAUGUAAAUAUAUAUAUAAAUUUAAGAUCUAUGGAAUGAUAUAUGAAUAUGUAUAUUUAGUUUAAAGUGAUUUAUAAGAUUAUGGUCAAUAUUUGAAAUUUUAUUAUUAUUAAAUACUUUAAUUUAUAGUAAUACCACUGAGUAUGAAAUACUCAGCGUACGGUUGUUUCCGUGCGCAGGUUGUAGAAGUCAAGUACUGAACCAGCAUCCAAAACCAGACCCGACUUCAGCAAAUUUUGGUGAUGUAUAUUUUCUUUUAGUAAUGUGGCAUGUACAUAGGAUGUGUAUAAAUGUUAUAAUGUUUUGAAUAUAAAUAGUUAAAAAUGUUAGUAUUAU
This 976-nucleotide long non-coding RNA is filed under the name Gossypium barbadense (sea-island cotton). Its description in RNAcentral is "long non-coding RNA (GBAR_LNC015661)". The record is from RNAcentral. Lineage: Eukaryota; Viridiplantae; Streptophyta; Magnoliopsida; Malvales; Malvaceae.